GAUCUUCCACAAUGGGCGAAAGCCUGACGGAGCAACGCCGCGUGAGUGAUGAAGGGUUUCGGCUCGUAAAACUCUGUUAUUAGGGAAGAACAAAUGUGUAAGUAACUGUGCACGUCUUGACGGUACCUAAUCAGAAAGCCACGGCUAACUACGUGCCAGCAGCCGCGGUAAUACGUAGGUGGCAAGCGUUAUCCGGAAUUAUUGGGCGUAAAGCGCGCGUAGGCGGUUUCUUAAGUCUGAUGUGAAAGCCCACGGCUCAACCGUGGAGGGUCAU
RNAcentral lists this ribosomal RNA (274 nucleotides) under uncultured Lactobacillus sp. Its description in RNAcentral is "partial 16S ribosomal RNA". It matches the Rfam family "Bacterial small subunit ribosomal RNA", at positions 359 to 626 of the family's 1533-position model. Lineage: Bacteria; Bacillati; Bacillota; Bacilli; Lactobacillales; Lactobacillaceae. The record is from RNAcentral.